CGUGAGUAACCUGCCUUGGAGUGGGGAAUAACAGUUGGAAACAGCUGCUAAUACCGCAUAAUAUGUCUGUGUCGCAUGGCACUGGGCAUCAAAGAUUUAUCGCUCUGAGAUGGACUCGCGUCUGAUUAGCUAGUUGGCGGGGUAACGGCCCACCAAGGCGACGAUCAGUAGCCGGACUGAGAGGUUGGCCGGCCACAUUGGGACUGAGACACGGCCCAGACUCCUACGGGAGGCAGCAG
This 239-nucleotide ribosomal RNA is filed under the name uncultured bacterium. RNAcentral describes it as "partial 16S ribosomal RNA". It matches the Rfam family "Bacterial small subunit ribosomal RNA", at positions 116 to 354 of the family's 1533-position model. The record is from RNAcentral.